Molecule: transfer RNA, 74 nt
Filed under: Rikenella microfusus
Lineage: Bacteria; Pseudomonadati; Bacteroidota; Bacteroidia; Bacteroidales; Rikenellaceae
Description: tRNA-Met(cat)
Rfam family: tRNA
About the family: Transfer RNA (tRNA) molecules are approximately 80 nucleotides in length. Their secondary structure includes four short double-helical elements and three loops (D, anti-codon, and T loops). Further hydrogen bonds mediate the characteristic L-shaped molecular structure. tRNAs have two regions of fundamental functional importance: the anti-codon, which is responsible for specific mRNA codon recognition, and the 3' end, to which the tRNAs corresponding amino acid is attached (by aminoacyl-tRNA synthetases). tRNAs cope with the degeneracy of the genetic code in two manners: having more than one tRNA (with a specific anti-codon) for a particular amino acid; and 'wobble' base-pairing, i.e. permitting non-standard base-pairing at the 3rd anti-codon position.
Source: RNAcentral
CGCGGGGUGGAGCAGUUGGCAGCUCGUUGGGCUCAUAACCCAAAGGUCGGAGGUUCGAGUCCUCCCCCCGCUAC